RNAcentral lists this ribosomal RNA (875 nucleotides) under Lactobacillus crispatus. RNAcentral describes it as "bacterial SSU rRNA". It matches the Rfam family "Bacterial small subunit ribosomal RNA", at positions 37 to 878 of the family's 1533-position model. Lineage: Bacteria; Bacillati; Bacillota; Bacilli; Lactobacillales; Lactobacillaceae. The record is from RNAcentral.
UGGCGGCGUGCCUAAUACAUGCAAGUCGAGCGAGCGGAACUAACAGAUUUACUUCGGUAAUGACGUUAGGAAAGCGAGCGGCGGAUGGGUGAGUAACACGUGGGGAACCUGCCCCAUAGUCUGGGAUACCACUUGGAAACAGGUGCUAAUACCGGAUAAGAAAGCAGAUCGCAUGAUCAGCUUUUAAAAGGCGGCGUAAGCUGUCGCUAUGGGAUGGCCCCGCGGUGCAUUAGCUAGUUGGUAAGGUAAAGGCUUACCAAGGCGAUGAUGCAUAGCCGAGUUGAGAGACUGAUCGGCCACAUUGGGACUGAGACACGGCCCAAACUCCUACGGGAGGCAGCAGUAGGGAAUCUUCCACAAUGGACGCAAGUCUGAUGGAGCAACGCCGCGUGAGUGAAGAAGGUUUUCGGAUCGUAAAGCUCUGUUGUUGGUGAAGAAGGAUAGAGGUAGUAACUGGCCUUUAUUUGACGGUAAUCAACCAGAAAGUCACGGCUAACUACGUGCCAGCAGCCGCGGUAAUACGUAGGUGGCAAGCGUUGUCCGGAUUUAUUGGGCGUAAAGCGAGCGCAGGCGGAAGAAUAAGUCUGAUGUGAAAGCCCUCGGCUUAACCGAGGAACUGCAUCGGAAACUGUUUUUCUUGAGUGCAGAAGAGGAGAGUGGAACUCCAUGUGUAGCGGUGGAAUGCGUAGAUAUAUGGAAGAACACCAGUGGCGAAGGCGGCUCUCUGGUCUGCAACUGACGCUGAGGCUCGAAAGCAUGGGUAGCGAACAGGAUUAGAUACCCUGGUAGUCCAUGCCGUAAACGAUGAGUGCUAAGUGUUGGGAGGUUUCCGCCUCUCAGUGCUGCAGCUAACGCAUUAAGCACUCCGCCUGGGG